Molecule: transfer RNA, 388 nt
Filed under: Rectolejeunea versifolia
Lineage: Eukaryota; Viridiplantae; Streptophyta; Jungermanniopsida; Porellales; Lejeuneaceae
Description: partial tRNA-Leu
Rfam family: Group I catalytic intron (bases 1-309)
About the family: Group I catalytic introns are large self-splicing ribozymes. They catalyse their own excision from mRNA, tRNA and rRNA precursors in a wide range of organisms.
Source: RNAcentral
GGACUUAAUUUUUGAGCCUUAGUAGAGAAAUCUACUAAGUGAUUGUUUUCACAUUCAGGGAAACCUAAGGUUUGAGGUAUGAGGUAAUCCUGAGCCAAAUUUUAGUUAUGAAAUAGGUGCAGAGACUCGAAGGAAACUAUCCUAACGAAAAAUUUUUUCUCUAUUUUUUAUUAUGAAUAUUGGUUAAGUGCAAAUCACAAAAUAUAUUCGAAAUAAUAAAAACAUCUGAAUACUAAAUAUGAAUAUUAGUUUUUAAAUAACUUUUAAUAGACGAGGAUAAAGAUAGAGUCCUUUUUUACAAUUUAUAUAAUUUUUUGUUAUAGAUAAUUGUAAAAAGAAAAUCCGUUGGCUUUAAUAGACCUUGAGGGUUCAAGUCCCUCUACCCCCA